This 460-nucleotide ribosomal RNA is filed under the name uncultured bacterium. RNAcentral's name for it is "bacterial SSU rRNA". It matches the Rfam family "Bacterial small subunit ribosomal RNA", at positions 28 to 507 of the family's 1533-position model. The record is from RNAcentral.
AAUGAACGUUGGCGGCGUGGAUUAGGCAUGCAAGUCGAGCGUACCCAGCAAUGGGGAAGCGGCAAACGGGGUAGUAAGGCGUCGGUACGUGCCCUCGGGACGAGGAUAGCCACGGGAAACUGUGGGUAAUACUCGAUGAUCUCGUGAGAGCAAAGGUGUGAUUCCGCCAGGGGAGCGGCCGACGUGGUAUUAGGUAGUUGGUGGGGUAAUGGCCCACCAAGCCUGGGAUGCCUAGGGGGUGUGAGAGCAUGGCCCCCCACCAUUGGGACUGAGAUACUGCCCAGACACCUACGGGUGGCUGCAGUCGAGAAUCUUCGGCAAUGGGCGCAAGCCUGACCGAGCGACGCCGCGUGCGGGAUGAAGGCCUUCGGUUGUAAACCGCUGUCAGAGGGGAUGAAAUCACAGUGGGUUCUCCCAUUGUGUUGACAGAGCCUCAGAGGAAGNGCGGGCUAAGUUCGUG